AGUCUGAUGGAGCAACGCCGCGUGAGUGAAGAAGGGUUUCGGCUCGUAAAGCUCUGUUGGUAGUGAAGAAAGAUAGAGGUAGUAACUGGCCUUUAUUUGACGGUAAUUACUUAGAAAGUCACGGCUAACUACGUGCCAGCAGCCGCGGUAAUACGUAGGUGGCAAGCGUUGUCCGGAUUUAUUGGGCGUAAAGCGAGUGCAGGCGGUUCAAUAAGUCUGAUGUGAAAGCCUUCGGCUCAACCGGAGAAUUGCAUCAGAAACUGUUGAACUUGAGUGCAGAAGAGGAGAGUGGAACUCCAUGUGUAGCGGUGGAAUGCGUAGAUAUAUGGAAGAACACCAGUGGCGAAGGCGGCUCUCUGGUCUGCAACUGACGCUGAGGCUCGAAAGUAUGGGUAGCGAACAGGAUUAGAUACCCUGGUAGUCCAUGCCGUAAACGAUGAGUGCUAAGUGUUGGGAGGUUUCCGCCUCUCAGUGCUGCAGCUAACGCAUUAAGCACUCCGCCUGGGGAGUACGACCGCAAGGUUGAAACUCAAAGGAAUUGACGGGGGCCCGCACAAGCGGUGGAGCAUGUGGUU
Molecule: ribosomal RNA, 575 nt
Filed under: Lactobacillus gasseri
Lineage: Bacteria; Bacillati; Bacillota; Bacilli; Lactobacillales; Lactobacillaceae
Description: bacterial SSU rRNA
Rfam family: Bacterial small subunit ribosomal RNA
Source: RNAcentral